RNAcentral lists this transfer RNA (84 nucleotides) under bacterium. RNAcentral describes it as "tRNA-Leu". It matches the Rfam family "tRNA". From Rfam's summary of the family: Transfer RNA (tRNA) molecules are approximately 80 nucleotides in length. Their secondary structure includes four short double-helical elements and three loops (D, anti-codon, and T loops). The record is from RNAcentral. RNAcentral also lists the same sequence under 1 other name.
GCCCAAGUGGCGGAAUUGGUAGACGCGCUAGUUUCAGGGACUAGUGAUCGCAAGGUCGUGUAGGUUCGAGUCCUAUCUUGGGCA